This 250-nucleotide ribosomal RNA is filed under the name uncultured prokaryote. RNAcentral describes it as "partial 16S ribosomal RNA". It matches the Rfam family "Bacterial small subunit ribosomal RNA", at positions 524 to 774 of the family's 1533-position model. The record is from RNAcentral.
UACGUAGGUCGCAAGCGUUAUCCGGAAUUAUUGGGCGUAAAGAGUGAGCAGGCGGCAUGGUAAGUCUGGAGUGAAAGCGUGGGGCUUAACCCCAUACAGCUUUGGAUACUACCAAGCUAGAGUACGUCAGAGGUUAACAGAACUCCAUGUGUAGCGGUGAAAUGCGUAGAUAUAUGGAAGAAUACCAGUGGCGAAGGCGGUUAACCAGGACGAUACUGACGCUCAGUCACGAAAGCGUGGGGAGCAAAUA